CCUACGGGAGGCAGCAGUAGGGAAUCUUUCACAAUGGGCGAAAGCCUGAUGGAGCAACGCCGCGUGCAGGAUGAAGGCCUUCGGGUUGUAAACUGCUUUUAUAAGCGAGAAAUAUGAUGGUAACUUAUGAAUAAGGAUCGGCUAACUACGUGCCAGCAGCCGCGGUCAUACGUAGGAUCCGAGCAUUAUCCGGAGUGACUGGGUGUAAAGAGUUGCGUAGGUGGCAUAAUAAGUAGCUAGUGAAAUCUGGUGGCUCAACCAUUCAGACUAUUAGCUAAACUGUUAAGCUCGAGACCGUUAGGGGUAACUGGAAUGUCUAGUGUAGGAGUGAAAUCCGUAGAGAUUAGAAGGAACACCAAUAGCGUAGGCAGGUUGCUGGGACGGUUCUGACACUAAGGCACGAAAGCGUAGGGAGCAAACGGGAUUAGAUACCCUUGUAGUC
RNAcentral lists this ribosomal RNA (442 nucleotides) under uncultured bacterium. RNAcentral's name for it is "partial 16S ribosomal RNA". It matches the Rfam family "Bacterial small subunit ribosomal RNA", at positions 338 to 795 of the family's 1533-position model. The record is from RNAcentral.